AUUGAACGCUGGCGGCAUGCUUUACACAUGCAAGUCGAACGGCAGCGCGGGCUUCGGCCUGGCGGCGAGUGGCGAACGGGUGAGUAAUGCAUCGGAACGUGCCCAGUAGUGGGGGAUAGCCCGGCGAAAGCCGGAUUAAUACCGCAUACGACCUGAGGGUGAAAGCGGGGGACCGAAAGGCCUCGCGCUAUUGGAGCGGCCGAUGUCGGAUUAGCUAGUUGGUGGGGUAAAGGCUUACCAAGGCGACGAUCCGUAGCUGGUCUGAGAGGACGACCAGCCACACUGGGACUGAGACACGGCCCAGACUCCUACGGGAGGCAGCAGUGGGGAAUUUUGGACAAUGGGGGCAACCCUGAUCCAGCCAUGCCGCGUGCGGGAAGAAGGCCUUCGGGUUGUAAACCGCUUUUGUUCGGGAAGAAAUCCUCUGGGCUAAUACCCCGGGGGGAUGACGGUACGGGAAGAAUAAGCACCGGCUAACUACGUG
RNAcentral lists this ribosomal RNA (484 nucleotides) under uncultured bacterium. Its description in RNAcentral is "partial 16S ribosomal RNA". It matches the Rfam family "Bacterial small subunit ribosomal RNA", at positions 28 to 507 of the family's 1533-position model. The record is from RNAcentral.